RNAcentral lists this ribosomal RNA (497 nucleotides) under uncultured bacterium. Its description in RNAcentral is "partial 16S ribosomal RNA". It matches the Rfam family "Bacterial small subunit ribosomal RNA", at positions 28 to 507 of the family's 1533-position model. The record is from RNAcentral.
GAUGAACGCUGGCGGCGUGCCUAAUACAUGCCAGUCGAGCGAGCAGACGAGGAGCUUGCUCCUCUGACGUUAGCGGCGGACGGGUGAGUAACACGUGGGUAACCUACCUAUAAGACUGGGAUAACUUCGGGAAACCGGAGCUAAGACCGGAUAAUAUAUUGAACCGCAUGGUUCAAUAGUGAAAGACGGUUUUGCUGUCACUUAUAGAUGGAUCCGCGCCGCAUUAGCUAGUUGGUAAGGUAACGGCUUACCAAGGCAACGAUGCGUAGCCGACCUGAGAGGGUGAUCGGCCACACUGGAACUGAGACACGGUCCAGACUCCUACGGGAGGCAGCAGUAGGGAAUCUUCCGCAAUGGGCGAAAGCCUGACGGAGCAACGCCGCGUGAGUGAUGAAGGUCUUCGGAUCGUAAAACUCUGUUAUUAGGGAAGAACAAAUGUGUAAGUAACUAUGCACGUCUUGACGGUACCUAAUCAGAAAGCCACGGCUAACUACGUG